Molecule: ribosomal RNA, 446 nt
Filed under: Aeromonas jandaei
Lineage: Bacteria; Pseudomonadati; Pseudomonadota; Gammaproteobacteria; Aeromonadales; Aeromonadaceae
Description: bacterial SSU rRNA
Rfam family: Bacterial small subunit ribosomal RNA
Source: RNAcentral
AAAGUAGCUUGCUACUUUUGCCGGCGAGCGGCGGACGGGUGAGUAAUGCCUGGGGAUCUGCCCAAGUCGAGGGGGAUAACUACUGGAAACGGUUGCUAAUACCGCAUACGCCCUACGGGGGAAAGCAGGGGACCUUCGGGCCUUGCGCGAUUGGAUGAACCCAGGUGGGAUUAGCUAGUUGGUGAGGUAACGGCUUCACCAAGGCGACGAUCCCUAGCUGGUCUGAGAGGAUGAUCAGCCACACUGGAACUGAGACACGGUCCAGACUCCUACGGGAGGCAGCCAGUGGGGAAUAUUGCACAAUGGGGGAAACCCUGAUGAGCAGCCAUGCCGCGUGUGUGAAGAAGGCCUUCGGGUUGUAAAGCACUUUCCAGCGAGGAGGAAAGGUCAGUAGCUAAUAUCUGCUGGCUGUGACGUUACUCGCAGAAGAAGCACCUCUUCAUCUA